UUCAAGCUUAAAUUUAAAUGUCUAUCUCUUUUUGCCUUUAAAAAAUAGUAAUGCCAUUGUUAGAAAUAUAGAUAUUAGAAGAGAUCCAGGGAAUGCAACUCACAUUUGUAUUCAGUUAGUGAUUUUGGUUAAAGAUGUUUAGUGUUGAAAAUCUACUCAACUUUGAAAAUAAUCUCAGAGCACACAAUGAAAAUAGUAGGUGUCUAGUAUUUAUUACUCAUUGGAAAGAAACGGUAGAAUGAAAUAUUAUUUUAUUUGGAUCCGUAAAAAUUUCUUGUAUUGCCUUGAGGUUUUUUUUUAAGGUCAGAUGGAUCUUUUAAUUUGGUCAGCAGUUAUAGUUGAUUAAUAUAUCUGGGUACCAAGGUGGUCUACAUGGAGGGAUUUGGGGGAAAUGUGGCCUCCUCAGCAGUUGUUAAUAUAGUGUUAUUAUCCUAGGUGGUGAUUCUCAGUCCACAAUAAGAAUAAGUAUACAUUGCUAACCUAAAACAUUUAAAGCAAACAUUUCAGAAAAUGGUAUUCCUAAUAGGUGCUUUACUAGUACUCUGAAAUUUUAUUUUAUCCUAUUAUAUUAGGGUAAAAUACAAAGGUUAGUGCUUAAAAAGCUGCCCCAAAUCAGUAAUUAUGAGACAAAGGUUAAAUGUAAUAAAGUCAAAUGGUAUUUUUUAAAAACAUGCUGGUCACAGCCCACUUAAUUCUUUCAUGGCUUACUAAUGGAUGGCAGCCCAUGGUUUAAAAACAACAACAAAAGCCACCUAAUUAGUAGGUUUAUCACUUGAGGAGCAGGGAUCAGACCAAGUCCAGCAUAGGGGUGUGCUGUGUUUUUAGGGUUGACCAAAUCUGGUCACCUAGAAGUGGGAACAUGGGUUACUUCUUAGUUUAUAGCUAUUUAUAGCUACCAGUAAGAAAGAGGCAUUUCCUCCAAUUUUCCACCUUCCUACCUCUUUCCAGGAUCCCUUUUUUCCUUCCAAGUAUUCUAGAAAGCCAUUAUAAACUUGUUUUCCUUACAGGUAGGAGAAGAAGGAAUGUGUUAGAUAGAAUGUACCUUUAAGCAUAUUCCUUUAACUUGUAUAUUAUUUCUAUUUCUGGUAAUGGCAUUUUAAAAAGAAAGAGUAGUAUUUAUGGGAGAGAUUUAUUCACUCAAAUAUAAGAACAUUUUUUUCAUAGGAGUAAAUGUAAAAUGAGAGUCAUACAAGCUUUUUAAGUGUAUGCAUCUACUUUCAUUUAGCAUGUUUCUACUUUAAUGGCACUUCUUAUUUCUGAGCAUUAUUGCUAAUAUUUUUUUAGAUUCCUUUAAAUGAAUGGUACAGCAUACCGUGGAGUUCAUUUGACUUUAUUACAUUUAACCUUUGUCUCAUAAUUACUGAUUUGGGGGCAGCUUUUUAAAUACUAACCUUAUUACCUCCAGUUAAUGAAAGCUUGGAUGAUACCAAUAUGUGAUAUAAAAAUAAUUAAAUUUACAUGUAACCAUCAAUUAACAGCACAAGAUACAUAAAAAUCUUUUGUGGAAAUCCCAAGGCUGGUAAAUUCUAGGGUAUUGAUAUUGAAAUUGAUAUUGAUAUUUAGGGACAUGAUAUUGAAAAGGGAUGGCUGAUUUUGUUUGUUUACCAACCCAUGUGGCAUUGGAGUAAAUAGUUUUAAAAUUAUGUUUCCUGAUCAAUUUUUAAAAUGUGAGUAACUAACAGUAUUUCAAAUUUUGCGCAAAAAGUACUGUAGUUAUUAUAUACAAUUAUUUCAGGUUUAUAGAAUCAAUAUUAACAACACUAUAAUUUGAAAACCUGAAUUGCAGCAUUCAGUAUGCAGCUGAGUUUAAUUACAAACUGUUCACUGUUUAUGAAGAUGCCAUUAUAUCAGAACUGAUUUCCGUAGCCAGACAAAAUCUUAAGAUGUUGGAGUUGAUGAGAUGGGAUAUUUUACUCACACGUACAGCAUAAAGCCAUUUGAUCUAGGAAUCCAUAUAAGCCUGUUACUGUUGAGGGAUGUCAGUCAGUAGGUGGCACACUUUGCCAUCAGAUCGGUGCUUUGCAAGCUGAAUGGUAAAUGCUGUUUGAACUGCCUUGGGUAUGAACAAAAGCGCUACCCUGUAAAAGCCCAUCCUGAGUCUUUGUACUAGUUUCGUCUCAGGUUGCCAAGUCUGGAUUGUGGGGGGGUGUCUGCUUUUAAGUUGCCUAUAGAACGAGGGUCUGGGGCACUGUGGAAAGAGGACCAGCAUGAAUUUAAGUUUUGGCCCUUUUUCUUAUUAAAUACCAUUGGGCAAGUUAUUUAAUUUCAGUGAGUCUCAGUUUUUCUAUAAAUCAGGGUUAAUAGUGGGGUGGCUACAAGGAUUACUGUGUUAUGAUGUUUGCAAAUUGCUGACCAUGGUCCCCAUUUCAUAAUUGGAAUUCUAUAAAUAAUACCUAUUAUUAUUAUUAUUACUUAGUCUUAUAAAUAAAAUCUAUGUAGAAGGCUGCAUGUUGAAAUUAAUUUUAAGGGCACCUCUAGAUUAGCUCCUCAGAUCAAUUUGUUUUGGUUCAGCAAAUAAUGGAUUUUAUGAGACAGUAUCAAGUUAAGGAGGUAAGAUCAUAUUGAUGAGUUGGGAAGUAAGAUUAAAGACUAAAGAUUAAAGAUUCUGGCUAUAGCUGAGUUAAAUUUAAGAGGUAUAAACUCAUGUGAAAUCCUGUAUUGGGUUUCAGAGAAUAUGUACAAGCACAUGUGAAAAUGACAUAGUUUCAGGUCAAGUGAAAAACCCCCAGGAGCUUUGACUAAAAGCCUGGUGUAGGUAGUGAUGCAGCUGUCAUGGAAGCCAGUGCAUUCUCCAAUAGGAUUGCAAGGCUUUGAGUGUCCAAGCAAAAGACAGCAGCAAUCUACUAUCCUCCGCACUCUUCAGUACACACCUAAAGUGUGUUUGUUCUGUCUUGAAUUCUGUUCUUUUAAAAGAGACAAGGGCAGGCAGGAGCAUAAACAGAGGAACUUGACCAGGAACAGUGUUGUAUGAAGAAUAAUGUUGCUGCUUAGCCUGAGCACUGCCUUCCCAUUUCAAGUGUUUGGAAGUCUACCAUUUGGAAGCCAGUGCAUUGUGUAGAAAGGCACUCAGUAAAGAUUUACUGAACAAAUGAGGAAUAGGCAGCUAUCGUGUAUAUCUAUAGUGUAGAGCUGAAGUAUCUAA
Molecule: long non-coding RNA, 3142 nt
Organism: Pipistrellus kuhlii (Kuhl's pipistrelle)
Lineage: Eukaryota; Metazoa; Chordata; Mammalia; Chiroptera; Vespertilionidae
Exons: 3
Source: RefSeq, a predicted model, not a curated record